CUGCCCCUUGUCUUUUGCGUACCGUAUGUUUCCUCGGCGGGCUUGCCUGCCGGUUGGACAUUAUCAAACCUUUUUGUAGUUGCAAUCAGCGUCAGAAAACAAAUAAUAAUUACAACUUUCAACAACGGAUCUCUUGGUUCUGGCAUCGAUGAAGAACGCAGCGAAAUGCGAAAAGUAGUGUGAAUUGCAGAAUUCAGUGAAUCAUCGAAUCUUUGAACGCACAUUGCGCCCCUUGGUAUUCCAUGGGGCAUGCCUGUUCGAGCGUCAUUUUGUACCCUCAAGCACUGCUUGGUGUUGGGCGUUUGUCCUGCAAAGGACUCGCCUGAAAGCGAUUGGCGGCCAACGUACUGGUGGUAGAGCGCAGCACAAUUUGCGUCUCUCCCCUCUGCGUCGGCGUCCAUGAAGCCUUUUUUCAACGUUUGACCUCGGAUCAGGUAGGGAUACCCGCUGAACUUAAGCAUA
RNAcentral lists this ribosomal RNA (462 nucleotides) under Leptosphaeria sp. R2EK06. RNAcentral's name for it is "eukaryotic LSU rRNA". The stretch from base 114 to 267 matches the Rfam family "5.8S ribosomal RNA". Lineage: Eukaryota; Fungi; Ascomycota; Dothideomycetes; Pleosporales; Leptosphaeriaceae. The record is from RNAcentral.